Molecule: transfer RNA, 70 nt
Filed under: Camelus bactrianus (Bactrian camel)
Lineage: Eukaryota; Metazoa; Chordata; Mammalia; Artiodactyla; Camelidae
Also listed under: 2 other names
Rfam family: tRNA
About the family: Transfer RNA (tRNA) molecules are approximately 80 nucleotides in length. Their secondary structure includes four short double-helical elements and three loops (D, anti-codon, and T loops).
Source: Rfam by way of RNAcentral
GGGGAUAGCUCAGUGGUGGAGAGCAUGCUUAGCAUGCACUAGGUCCUGGGUUCAAUCCCCAGGACCCCCA